Molecule: transfer RNA, 72 nt
Filed under: Camelus bactrianus (Bactrian camel)
Lineage: Eukaryota; Metazoa; Chordata; Mammalia; Artiodactyla; Camelidae
Also listed under: 3 other names
Rfam family: tRNA
About the family: Transfer RNA (tRNA) molecules are approximately 80 nucleotides in length. Their secondary structure includes four short double-helical elements and three loops (D, anti-codon, and T loops). Further hydrogen bonds mediate the characteristic L-shaped molecular structure. tRNAs have two regions of fundamental functional importance: the anti-codon, which is responsible for specific mRNA codon recognition, and the 3' end, to which the tRNAs corresponding amino acid is attached (by aminoacyl-tRNA synthetases). tRNAs cope with the degeneracy of the genetic code in two manners: having more than one tRNA (with a specific anti-codon) for a particular amino acid; and 'wobble' base-pairing, i.e. permitting non-standard base-pairing at the 3rd anti-codon position.
Source: Rfam by way of RNAcentral
GAGGGUAGAGCUCAGUGGUAGAGCGUGUGCUUAGCAUGCAUGAGGCCCUGGGUUCAAUCCCCAGCACCUCCA